AUUGAACGCUGGCGGCAGGCCUAACACAUGCAAGUCGAGCGGUAACACAGAGGAGCUUGCUCCUUGGGUGACGAGCGGCGGACGGGUGAGUAAUGCCUGGGGAUCUGCCCGAUAGAGGGGGAUAACUACGGGAAACUGUAGCUAAUACCGCAUAAUGUCUACGGACCAAAGUGGGGGCUCUUCGGACCUCAUGCUAUCGGAUGAACCCAGGUGGGAUUAGCUAGUUGGUGAGGUAAUGGCUCACCAAGGCGACGAUCUCUAACUGGUUUGAGAGAAUGACCAGUCACACUGGAACUGAGACACGGUCCAGACUCCUACGGGAGGCAGCAGUGGGGAAUAUUGCACAAUGGGCGCAAGCCUGAUGCAGCCAUGCCGCGUGUGUGAAGAAGGCCUUCGGGUUGUAAAGCACUUUCAGCGGGGAGGAAGGGUCACUAGUUAAUACCUAGUGGCAUUGACGUUACUCGCAGAAGGAGCACCGGCUAACUCCGUGCCAGCAGCCGCGGUAAUACGGAGGGUGCAAGCGUUAAUCGGAAUUACUGGGCGUAAAGCGCACGCAGGCGGUUUGUUAAGUCANAUGUGAAAUCCCCGAGCUCAACUUGGGAACUGCAUUUGAAACUGGCAAGCUAGANUCUUGUA
Molecule: ribosomal RNA, 636 nt
Filed under: uncultured prokaryote
Description: bacterial SSU rRNA
Rfam family: Bacterial small subunit ribosomal RNA
Source: RNAcentral